CCGACGGGGUGAAUAUCCCAAGGCGCGUGAGAGAACCCUGGUUAAGGAACUCGCAAAUUGACACCGUAACUUCGGGAGAAGGUGUGCCGCUGGCGGUUAGUGACCUCGCGUCACGAAGCUGUCGGUGGUCGCAGUGAAAUGGCGGUUGUGACUGUUUACUAAAAACACAGGACUCUGCGAAGUCGUAAGACGACGUAUAGGGUCUGAUGCCUGCCCGGUGCUGGAAGGUUAAGGGGAUAUGUCAGCGCAAGCGAAGCAUUGAACCGAAGCCCCAGUAAACGGCGGCCGUAACUAUAACGGUCCUAAGGUAGCGAAAUUCCUUGUCGGGUAAGUUCCGACCUGCACGAGGGCAUAACAACAUCCGCACUGUCUCGACCAGGGACUCAGCGAAAUUACAUUGGGGGUGAAGAUGCCCUCUACCCGCGGAAAGACGGAAAGACCCCAUGAACCUUUACUGCAACUUGGCAGUGAUUUUCGGGUUGUUCUGCGUAGGAUAGGUGGGAGGCUUUGAAGCCGGGCUUCCGGGUUCGGCAGAGCCAACGUUGAAAUACCACCCUGAAUAAUCUGGAAAUCUAACCUGCGCCCAUGAUCUGGGCGAGGGACACUGCCUGGUGGGCAGUUUGACUGGGGCGGUCGCCUCCUAAAUUGUAACGGAGGCGUGCGACGGUUCCCUCAGGCUGAUUGGAAACCAGCCGUAGAGUGCAAACGCAUAAGGGAGCUUUACUGCGAGACUGACAAGUCGAACAGUUGCGAAAGCAGGUGUUAGUGAUCCGGUGGUACCACAUGGAAGGGCCAUCGCUCAUCGGAUAAAAGGUACUCUGGGGAUAACAGGCUGAUCGCGCCUGAGAGUUCACAUCGGCGGCGCGGUUUGGCACCUCGGUGUCGGCUCAUCGCAUCCUGGGGCUGGAGCAGGUCCCAAGGGUUUGGCUGUUCGCCAAUUAAAGCGGUACGCGAGCUGGGUUUAAAACGUCGUGAGACAGUUUGGUCCCUAUCUUCCGUGGGCGCAGGACACUUGAGAGGAGCUAUCCAUAGUACGAGAGGACCUGGAUGGACGAACCUCUGGUGCUCCGGUUGUCACGCCAGUGGCAUAGCCGGGUAGCCAUGUUCGGAACAGAUAACCGCUGAAGGCAUAUAAGCGGGAAGCUGGCCUCAAGACUAGGUGUCCCUGACGCAAGUCACUAAAGGCCCCUCGAAGACUACGAGGUUGAUAGGCUCGGUGUGGAAGCGCUGCGAGGCGUGGAGCUAACGAGUACUAAUAGGCCGUGCGACUUGACCUC
RNAcentral lists this ribosomal RNA (1277 nucleotides) under metagenome. RNAcentral describes it as "bacterial LSU rRNA". It matches the Rfam family "Bacterial large subunit ribosomal RNA", at positions 1664 to 2925 of the family's 2925-position model. The record is from RNAcentral.